RNAcentral lists this long non-coding RNA (1250 nucleotides) under Homo sapiens (human). Its description in RNAcentral is "long non-coding RNA NONHSAT199337.1". The record is from RNAcentral. Lineage: Eukaryota; Metazoa; Chordata; Mammalia; Primates; Hominidae.
GGAUUCUAAACCCCUGGAAAGAGUUUUAGGCACAAGAUUAAGAGGUGGAUGGAACUGGAGGUCAUAUCUUAAAUGAAACAAGCCAAGCAAAGAAAGUCAAAUAUCACAUAUUCUCACUCCUAAGUAGGGACUAAAAAAUGUGUACACAUGGAUGUAGAGAAUGGAAUGAUUGACAGGAUACAAAUAUGAUUUAAGAUAAACCUGAAACCCUGGAACCCUUCAUAAUAUAGACACACAGAUGACCCAACAUGGAAAAUAAUAUAUUGUAAAAGUCAUUCAGUUGUGGGGAAAUGUGCAGAGAGGAUUCUAUUUGGACUUGUUAUAAAUAAGCAAGAUUGUAUCAACAAUCUAGAGAGCCUCUGAAGUGUAACUACCCUUUCAGCAUUUCAGAAGACCAUGCACUAUUCCCGUUGAUGAGACUAUACAGGAUGAACAAAACAGAAAAAAAUUGUGUCCUCAUGGAGCAGACUGCAUAAAUUUUAUUCAGAAAAGAUAUGCUACAGAAGGUGACAGUGUUGGAGUGGAGUGACUGAAAUUAUACAUGUAGCCACAGGGAUAAAUUGAUUUUUGAAUAAAAUUCUGAAUGAGGAGGAAAGGUGGUUGGCUAAUUGUGGAAGCUGAGUGUUUUGUCUGAAAUUUGAGAAGAUGGAGAAGAUUUUAAGUGCAUGGCUUUUUGCGAGAGUAGGUGAGUUAUAUGAAGCAGGCCUGGCACGGUGGCUCAUGCCUGUAAUCCCAGCACUUUGGGAGGCUGAGGAGGACGCAUCACCUGAAGUCAGGAAUUUGAGACCAGCCUGACCAACAUGGAGAAACCCCAUCUCAACUAAAAAUACAAAAUUAGCCUGGUGUGGUGGCGCAUCCCUGUAAUCCCAGCUACUCACGAGGCUGAGCCAGGAGAAUCACUUGAACCCAGGACACGGCAGUUUUGGAUUAUUGUUUUGUACUACUAAGCUUUGACACGAACUAUGGGGAAGAUCUAAAAUUAAUAUACAACCAUACCUCAAAAUAUUGCAGGAUCAGUUCCAGACCACUGCCAUGAAGUCAAUAUUGCAACAAAGUGCCCAAAAAUCAUGGUCUAGUUUUCCCUGCUUUCACCCUCACAACUGGAGGGUUCAUGGAGCUCUCCAGGGGAUGACGGUUGUGCCAUGCAGAGCAGCAUUUCUAAGCAAGUGUGAGUUCAUGUGAGUAGAGCCAAACACGAGUCAAAUUUCCAUUAAAAAAACUAUGAGUUCCGCGAGGUGCGGUGGCUCAUG